RNAcentral lists this ribosomal RNA (374 nucleotides) under uncultured bacterium. RNAcentral's name for it is "bacterial SSU rRNA". It matches the Rfam family "Bacterial small subunit ribosomal RNA", at positions 524 to 898 of the family's 1533-position model. The record is from RNAcentral.
UACAGAGGGUGCAAGCGUUAAUCGGAAUUACUGGGCGUAAAGCGCGCGUAGGUGGUCUGUUAAGUUGGACGUGAAAUCCCCGGGCUUAACCUGGGAGCUGCAUUUGAUACGUGUAGACUAGAGUGUGAGAGAGGGUUGUGGAAUUCCCAGUGUAGAGGUGAAAUUCGUAGAUAUUGGGAAGAACACCGGUGGCGAAGGCGGCAACCUGGCUCAUUACUGACGCUGAGGCGCGAAAGCGUGGGGAGCAAACAGGAUUAGAUACCCUGGUAGUCCACGCCGUAAACGAUGUCAACUAGCCGUUGGAAUCUUGAGAUUUUAGUGGCGCAGCUAACGCAUUAAGUUGACCGCCUGGGGAGUACGGCCGCAAGGUUAAA